AUAAACUCUUCAAGAGCACCAGCCAGCUGGUACUGCGGAGGGACUCUCGGAGCCUGGAGGGCAGCUCGGACACGGCCCUGCCCCUGAGGCGGGCAGGGAGCCUCUGCAGCCCCCUGGACGAACCAGUAUCGCCCCCUUCCCGGGCCCAGCGCUCCUGCUCCCUGCCCCAGCCCAAACUUGGUACCCAGCUGCCCAGCUGGCUUCUGGCCCCCGCUUCACGCCCCCAGCGCCGCCGCCCCUUCCUGAGUGGAGAUGAGGAUUCCAAGGCUUCCACGCUACGUGUUGUGGUCUUUGGCUCUGAUCGGAUUUCAGGGAAGGUGGCCCGGGCGUAUAGCAACCUUCGGCGGCUGGAGAACAAUUGCCCACUCCUCGCACGGUUCUUCAAACUUCAGUUCUUCUACGUGCCUGUGAAGCGAAGUCACGGGACCAGCCCUGGUGCCUGUCCACCCCCUCGGAGCCAGACGCCCUCACCCCCGGCAGACUCCCCUAGGCACGCCAGCCCUGGAGUAUGUCCCCAGCCUGGGCCAAUGGGGCGGGAAAGUAGUUCUGGCUACCUGAAGGAAGCCGAUUGGAAGUCAUGGAAAGCAAGCACCUGUGU
RNAcentral lists this small RNA (598 nucleotides) under Pongo abelii (Sumatran orangutan). RNAcentral describes it as "retained intron". Lineage: Eukaryota; Metazoa; Chordata; Mammalia; Primates; Hominidae. The record is from RNAcentral.